Molecule: ribosomal RNA, 429 nt
Filed under: Verrucomicrobiota bacterium
Lineage: Bacteria; Pseudomonadati; Verrucomicrobiota
Description: Verrucomicrobia bacterium partial 16S ribosomal RNA
Rfam family: Bacterial small subunit ribosomal RNA
Source: RNAcentral
UAGGGAAUCUUCGGCAAUGGGGGGAACCCUGACCGAGCAACGCCGCGUGAGUGAAGAAGGUUUUCGGAUCGUAAAGCUCUGUUGUUAAGGAAGAACGAGUGUGAGAAUGGAAAGUUCAUGCUGUGACGGUACUUAACCAGAAAGGGACGGCUAACUACGUGCCAGCAGCCGCGGUAAUACGUAGGUCCCGAGCGUUGUCCGGAUUUACUGGGCGUAAAGGGUGCGUAGGUGGUCUUUCAAGUCGGUGGUUAAAGGCUACGGCUCAACCGUAGUUAGCCUCCGAAACUGGAAGACUUGAGUGCAGGAGAGGAAAGUGGAAUUCCCAGUGUAGCGGUGAAAUGCGUAGAUAUUGGGAGGAACACCAGUAGCGAAGGCGGCUUUCUGGACUGCAACUGACACUGAGGCACGAAAGCGUGGGUAGCAAACAGG